UGCCGGUGGUUGAGGAAGAAGAACCGUUUGGGAUGGUGCAGUUUUCAGGGACUUGUGCUUGGGUUCCGGUUCCGGGUUGGCAG
This 83-nucleotide transfer RNA is filed under the name Acaryochloris marina MBIC10699. Its description in RNAcentral is "tRNA-Pro". Lineage: Bacteria; Bacillati; Cyanobacteriota; Cyanophyceae; Acaryochloridales; Acaryochloridaceae. The record is from RNAcentral.